CUGUAGCUCAGUUGGAUAGAGCAACGGCCUUCUAAGCCGUGGGUCGGGGGUUCGAAUCCCUCCAG
RNAcentral lists this transfer RNA (65 nucleotides) under mouse gut metagenome. It matches the Rfam family "tRNA", at positions 5 to 66 of the family's 71-position model. Rfam says of the family: Transfer RNA (tRNA) molecules are approximately 80 nucleotides in length. Their secondary structure includes four short double-helical elements and three loops (D, anti-codon, and T loops). The record is from RNAcentral. RNAcentral also lists the same sequence under 2 other names.